UUCAUCAGGCCAUAGCUGUCCA
Caenorhabditis elegans is the source of this 22-nucleotide microRNA. The record is from Ensembl. NCBI's taxonomy places the organism in Eukaryota, Metazoa, Nematoda, Chromadorea, Rhabditida, Rhabditidae.